CUACGGGCCGCUGCAGGCGCGAAACCUCUACAAUGCACGAAAGUGUGAUAGGGGGACUCCAAGUGUGCUUACGCUGUAAGCACUUUUGCCAAGUGUAAACUAUUUGGCGAAUAAGGGCUGGGCAAGACGGGUGCCAGCAGCCGCGGUAACACCCGCAGCUCAAGUGGUGAUCACUUUUACUGGGCCUAGAGCGCUCGUAGCUGGUCAUGUCAGUCUUUGGUGAAAUUGUUGCGCUCAACGUAACAGCGUGCUGGAGAUACGUCAUGACUUGAGACCGGGAAGAGGUAAGGGUAUUCCUGGGGUAGGGGUAAAAUCCUAUAAUCCCAGGAGGACCACCUGUGGCGAAGGCGCUUACCUUGAACGGGUUUGACAGUGAGGGACGAAAGCUAGGGUAGCAAACGGGAUUAGAUACCCUAGUAGUC
Molecule: ribosomal RNA, 422 nt
Filed under: uncultured archaeon
Lineage: Archaea
Description: partial 16S ribosomal RNA
Rfam family: Archaeal small subunit ribosomal RNA
Source: RNAcentral